RNAcentral lists this non-coding RNA (122 nucleotides) under Synergistales bacterium. RNAcentral describes it as "MoCo sequence". It matches the Rfam family "Molybdenum/Tungsten riboswitch aptamer (Moco RNA motif)". The record is from RNAcentral. Lineage: Bacteria; Thermotogati; Synergistota; Synergistia; Synergistales.
CUUCAGGAUCGCCUCCGAGCCCGUUUUGCCUAAGGGAUUUUAUCCUAUGGCGGCGGGCCGUUAGGGCAUCUUCGGAAACGGAGACGCCUCCCGCAUUGGAAAGGAGGAGAAAGUUAAAGGCC